Vicugna pacos (alpaca) is the source of this 762-nucleotide non-coding RNA. Lineage: Eukaryota; Metazoa; Chordata; Mammalia; Artiodactyla; Camelidae. The record is from RefSeq and is a predicted model, not a curated record.
GAGAGGGAGACAGAGACCCCGGGGGGCCACCCAGUGUUUACGCCGAGGGGACCCCCCUAAACCCCGGGGCUGGGUACGUCUGUAUGUUGUGCGGUGAGGACGCUGACGCUGACCCUGACCGUGGCCUGUGUUUCAGGUGUCCCCGUGCGAACGGUGCCGCUGUGAGGCCAGCGGGGAAGUGCUGUGCACGGUGUCCGCGUGUCCCCAGACGGAGUGUGUGGACCCCGUGUACGAGCCCGACCAGUGCUGUCCCAUCUGCAAGAACGGCCCCAACUGCUUCGCAGAGACGGCUGUCAUCCCAGCCGGCAGGGAGGUGAAGACGGACGAGUGCACCGUCUGCCACUGCACCUACGAGGAGGGCACGUGGAGGAUCGAGCGGCAGGCCAUGUGCACCAGGCACGAAUGCAGGCAGAUGUAGACCCGGGGCCGCGAAGGCGUCUCCCGGGAGACCGUGCUGGUGUCUGCAUCCUGGGCGGCUCUGGGAAGCAUUCGCCGGGGAGGGGAGACUCUGGCCGAGGCAUGAUGGACACCGGCUGGCACUGUGCUCUUCUCGGUAACUGUGACUGCAAGAGAAGGACGUGGAUCUAUUUCAAGACAUCCACAAGAACUUGGGGCCAUCGGAGCCCUCUCUCAAUAAAAUGUGCUAUUUUCACAGCGAGGACACUGCAGUCCACUAUUCUAUAUGAAGUGUAUUUCUAUAACCCUCGAUUAGAGAGCUUAUAUAAAUGUUUUCUAUAGAUACAGAUUAAAAAGCCUGGGCUG